ACGUCACUGUGGGUGUGGGCGCGGUGGUUACAAAUAAUUCCAGGCACCUGUAGUCUGUUGGUUUUGUUAACGAGGAAGGCCCCUUGCUGUGCUCUGAUGUGGACGCAUAUUUCGUGUCUUCGUGUUGCAGAGGUUUCGGGUGCAGUUUUCGUUAUUACAUGGUGUGAGCCUCAGUACGUGAUUGAGCGACAUGCUGAGCUCUGACAGGAAGUGAUGAGGUUUGAGACAUGGUUUCAUCGCUGAUUUGAGUUCUUGGACAGAAUGCAGCCUGCAGAUUCAUCUUCCUCCUGAACCCAGCUGCACAUGAGACUCCUCAUCACCUCCACAGUGCCUCCACAGAGCCAUCUGCUGUCCUCCUGGUGCAACAGCGUGCACAGAGGUGUCUGCAGCAGCCUGUGGAUGUUUUCAGCUGAACUCUUUUAUAUUUUAGCUUCACAGUUAAAUUCAAAUGUCUCAUUACUCUAAAUAAAGGCCAUAUUGACCUGAUGA
Notolabrus celidotus (New Zealand spotty) is the source of this 489-nucleotide long non-coding RNA. RefSeq lists it as uncharacterized. The transcript is spliced from 3 exons. The record is from RefSeq and is a predicted model, not a curated record. NCBI's taxonomy places the organism in Eukaryota, Metazoa, Chordata, Actinopteri, Labriformes, Labridae.